GAUGAACGCUGGCGGCGUGCCUAACACAUGCAAGUCGAGCGGAGAUGAAGAAGUUUACUUUGGAUUCUUAGCGGCGGACGGGUGAGUAACGCGUGGGCAACCUACCCUGUACAGGGGGAUAACAAUGGGAAACCAUUGCUAAUACCCCAUGACGCCUUUUGGGGGCAUCCCUAAAAGGUCAAAGAACUUCGGUACAGGAUUGGGCCCGCGUCUGAUUAGCUAGUUGGUGAGGUAAUGGCUCACCAAGGCGACGAUCAGUAGCCGGCCUGAGAGGGUGAACGGCCACACUGGAACUGAGACACGGUCCAGACUCCUACGGGAGGCAGCAGUGGGGAAUAUUGCACAAUGGGGGAAACCCUGAUGCAGCAACGCCGCGUGACCGAUGAAGGCCUUCGGGUCGUAAAGCUCUGUCCUAAGGGAAGAUAAUGACGGUACCUUAGGAGGAAGCCCCGGCUAACUACGUGCCAGCAGCCGCGGUAAUACGUAGGGGGCAAGCGUUAUCCGGAAUCAUUGGGCGUAAAGGGUGCGUAGGCUGCCCUAUAGGUCAGAGGUCAAAGGCUACGGCUUCAACCGUAGUAAGCCUUUGAAACUGUAGGGCUUGAGUGCAGGAGAGGAGAGUGGAAUUCCUAGUGUAGCGGUGAAAUGCGUAGAUAUUAGGAGGAACACCAGUGGCGAAGGCGACUCUCUGGACUGCAACUGACGCUAGCACGAAAGCGUGGGUAGCGAAC
RNAcentral lists this ribosomal RNA (728 nucleotides) under uncultured bacterium. Its description in RNAcentral is "bacterial SSU rRNA". It matches the Rfam family "Bacterial small subunit ribosomal RNA", at positions 28 to 773 of the family's 1533-position model. The record is from RNAcentral.